This 73-nucleotide transfer RNA is filed under the name Ailuropoda melanoleuca (giant panda). It matches the Rfam family "tRNA". From Rfam's summary of the family: Transfer RNA (tRNA) molecules are approximately 80 nucleotides in length. Their secondary structure includes four short double-helical elements and three loops (D, anti-codon, and T loops). The record is from Rfam by way of RNAcentral. Lineage: Eukaryota; Metazoa; Chordata; Mammalia; Carnivora; Ursidae.
GCCUGGCUAGCUCAGUUGGUAGAGCAUGUAACUCUUGAUUUUGGGGUUAUAAAUUCAAGUCCCAUGUUAGGUG